ACAGGCUUAACACAUGCAAGUCGAGGGGCAGCAUUUUAGUUUGCUUGCAAACUGAAGAUGGCGACCGGCGCACGGGUGAGUAACACGUAUCCAACCUGCCGAUAACUCCGGAAUAGCCUUUCGAAAGAAAGAUUAAUACCGGAUAGCAUACGAAUAUCGCAUGAUAUUUUUAUUAAAGAAUUUCGGUUAUCGAUGGGGAUGCGUUCCAUUAGUUUGUUGGCGGGGUAACGGCCCACCAAGACUACGAUGGAUAGGGGUUCUGAGAGGAAGGUCCCCCACAUUGGAACUGAGACACGGUCCAAACUCCUACGGGAGGCAGCAGUGAGGAAUAUUGGUCAAUGGGCGAGAGCCUGAACCAGCCAAGUAGCGUGAAGGAUGAAGGCUCUAUGGGUCGUAAACUUCUUUUAUAUGGGAAUAAAGUUUUCCACGUGUGGAAUUUUGUAUGUACCAUAUGAAUAAGGAUCGGCUAACUCCGUGCCAGCAGCCGCGGUAAUACGGAGGAUCCGAGCGUUAUCCGGAUUUAUUGGGUUUAAAGGGAGCGUAGGUGGAUUGUUAAGUCAGUUGUGAAAGUUUGCGGCUCAACCGUAAAAUUGCAGUUGAAACUGGCAGUCUUGAGUACAGUAGAGGUGGGCGGAAUUCGUGGUGUAGCGGUGAAAUGCUUAGAUAUCACGAAGAACUCCGAUUGCGAAGGCAGCUCACUAGACUGUCACUGACACUGAUGCUCGAAAGCGUGGGUAUCAAACAGGAUUAGAUACCCUGGUAGUCCACACAGUAAACGAUGAAUACUCGCUGUUUGCGAUAUACAGUAAGCGGCCAAGCGAAAGCAUUAAGUAUUCCACCUGGGGAGUACGCCGGCAACGGUGAAACUCAAAGGAAUUGACGGGGGCCCGCACAAGCGGAGGAACAUGUGGUUUAAUUCGAUGAUACGCGAGGAACCUUACCCGGGCUUAAAUUGCAACAGAAUAUAUUGGAAACAGUAUAGCCGUAAGGCUGUUGUGAAGGUGCUGCAUGGUUGUCGUCAGCUCGUGCCGUGAGGUGUCGGCUUAAGUGCCAUAACGAGCGCAACCCUUAUCUUUAGUUACUAACAGGUCAUGCUGAGGACUCUAGAGAGACUGCCGUCGUAAGAUGUGAGGAAGGUGGGGAUGACGUCAAAUCAGCACGGCCCUUACGUCCGGGGCUACACACGUGUUACAAUGGGGGGUACAGAAGGCGGCUACCUGGUGACAGGAUGCUAAUCCCAAAAACCUCUCUCAGUUCGGAUCGAAGUCUGCAACCCGACUUCGUGAAGCUGGAUUCGCUAGUAAUCGCGCAUCAGCCAUGGCGCGGUGAAUACGUUCCCGGGCCUUGUACACACCGCCCGUCAAGCCAUGAAAGCCGGGGGUACCUGAAGUACGUAACCGCAAGGAGCGUCCUAGGGUAAAACUGGUAAUUGGGGCUAAGUAG
Molecule: ribosomal RNA, 1443 nt
Filed under: uncultured organism
Description: SSU rRNA
Rfam family: Bacterial small subunit ribosomal RNA
Source: RNAcentral